Molecule: ribosomal RNA, 253 nt
Filed under: uncultured bacterium
Lineage: Bacteria
Description: partial 16S ribosomal RNA
Rfam family: Bacterial small subunit ribosomal RNA
Source: RNAcentral
UACGGGGGGGGCAAGCGUUGUUCGGAAUUACUGGGCGUAAAGAGCUCGUAGGCGGUUUGUCGCGUCUGCUGUGAAAACUCGGGGCUUAACUCCGGGCCUGCAGUGGGUACGGGCAGACUAGAGUGCGGUAGGGGAGACUGGAAUUCCUGGUGUAGCGGUGAAAUGCGCAGAUAUCAGGAGGAACACCGAUGGCGAAGGCAGGUCUCUGGGCCACUACUGACGCUGAGAAGCGAAAGCGUGGGGAGCGAACAGG